This 257-nucleotide ribosomal RNA is filed under the name uncultured bacterium. RNAcentral's name for it is "partial 16S ribosomal RNA". It matches the Rfam family "Bacterial small subunit ribosomal RNA", at positions 524 to 776 of the family's 1533-position model. The record is from RNAcentral.
GACAGAGGGUGCAAACGUUGCGUCGGAAUCACUGGGCGUAAAGGGCGUGUAGGCGGAUCGGCAAGUCGGGACGUGAAACUCCCUCGGCUUAACCGGGGAACUGCGUCCGAUACUGGAUGGCUUGAGUUCGGGAGAGGGAUGCGGAAUUCCAGGUGUAGCGGUUGAAAUGCGUAGAUAUCUGGAGGAACACCGGUGGCGAAGGCGGCAUCCUGGACCGAUACUGACGCUGAGGAGCGAAAGCUAGGGGAGCAAACGGG